CAGAGCAUAGCUGAAGUAGUUAAAGCAUCUCACUUACACCGAGAAGUUGUUCUUGCAAAUAGAACUGUCCUGAC
RNAcentral lists this transfer RNA (74 nucleotides) under Hippocampus camelopardalis (giraffe seahorse). Its description in RNAcentral is "tRNA-Val". It matches the Rfam family "tRNA". From Rfam's summary of the family: Transfer RNA (tRNA) molecules are approximately 80 nucleotides in length. Lineage: Eukaryota; Metazoa; Chordata; Actinopteri; Syngnathiformes; Syngnathidae. The record is from RNAcentral.